GUGGGAAAGAGCAAAGAAGAAAGAUGGGGAUCAAACUCGGCCACAAGAAAAACAUAGAGUCGAGAAGAAUCAGACAAAGUGGCCAGCAAGGGAUUUUCAUUUGAAGACAAAGAGUUACUCGAGCAGCAGAUGCAUGACAUGGCUGUAGUGAUUGAGAAAUUGGAAAGCAGUAGACAAAAGCUUUUAAUGGAGAUUGAUUCCCAAUCUUCGGAGAUAGAAAGGCUUUUUGAGGAGAACUCUAAUUUAUCUAGUUCUCAUCAGGAGGCUAUGAGCAUAGCUGUGCACUGGGAGAAUCAGGUGAAAGACUGUCUUAAGCAAAAUGAAGAGCUCCGAGGAAUCUUAGAUAAGGAUUAACUUGCAAUAGAACAGAGUAAAGCAGAGGCAUUAUCGGCUGAGUAUUACAGCUCUCAGCAAGACUCCAACAGACCACUCAAGCAUACAAUAGGCUCGCACGCCU
This is an RNA transcript of Fragaria vesca subsp. vesca, 457 nucleotides long. RefSeq lists it as uncharacterized. The transcript is spliced from 6 exons. The record is from RefSeq and is a predicted model, not a curated record. NCBI's taxonomy places the organism in Eukaryota, Viridiplantae, Streptophyta, Magnoliopsida, Rosales, Rosaceae.